This 2359-nucleotide long non-coding RNA is filed under the name Homo sapiens (human). RNAcentral describes it as "ZBED3 antisense RNA 1, transcript variant 8 (ZBED3-AS1)". Lineage: Eukaryota; Metazoa; Chordata; Mammalia; Primates; Hominidae. The record is from RNAcentral.
AAUGAAACAGGAGAGUUCCCUGAUUUCCUCCCGGCCCCCGCCCUCCCACAGCCCUUUGCAGGACGUGCAACAGGGUUGUGGCUCGUGUGUUCGGUCUCUGCCUGCUGAAACCCCUUAUGGGAGGUGGAGCAUGCAGACGGACGGGUGCAGGAGCCAGGGUGCAAAAGCUGGGGCGCUGGGCUUCCAGCCCCACGGCAGUGUCCAGGGGCAGGAUCCCGUGAUUCCCGGAGCCCAAAUGGGCGUGUGUUACAGUGUGCUCUUUUAGCCUUACCAUCAGCUGACGGCUUAAGUGUUAACCAGCUCAAUAGACCCUCUGCCUUUUUGCAAGCGCAGAGGGUCAGUGUGACAGUUUCUGUAUCUCAGCUCUUGUCUCACCUCCCAGAAGAAUCAGGUCACACAUGGACUUGAAGGAUGAACACCAGAGACUGGGUAAUUAAUAAAAAGAAGAAAUUGAUCUGGCCUACAGUUCUGGAGCCUUGGAAGUCCGAGAUCAAGGAGCUGCAUCUGGAAAACACAGAUCCUGGUGCCGAACAUGAGGACAGGGCAGGCCGAAGGAGAAAGUGGAAGGAGGGGAGCUUCUCUCUCAGCCUCAUCCUUCUGGGCCUGGAUGCUGGAGAGUCAUGAGGUGCUUCAGAGUACUCUGGGUGAGGAGGGAAAGAUGGUGCCCACCACAUGGAGGCCAGCCUAGGUCUUGUAUGAAACCUGUGAGGAGAUUCUCUCUCCCUUGCUGUCUUUGAAAAAGCAAGUUGCCAUGUGAAGAGGGCCAUAUAGCAUAGGAGCUGAAGGCAGCCUCCAACUGACGGCAAGAAAAUGAGGUCCUCAGUCUGACAACCUGCAAGAAACUGAAUGUUCUAAAAGCCACAUGAGCUUGGGAGCAGAUCUGACCCCAGCCAAAUCUCUGAAGUCCGCAGGCAGGAAAUGAAGAUCAGAAAAAGGCUAUUGUCUCAUGAAUAUGAGCCAGACUCCACAGAAGCUGGAGUCCUUCAUUAUGGAGCUAAACACAUACACCUGGCUUAGGAGUCAGAAAAACUGAAAGAGAAUUCAGGGAAGUAGAGAAAUUGCAAGCCCAGAUGCUGCUUCAUACCAAAGAAGCAAGUCAGCAGGUCAGCAACAAUGUGUAUCAGUUCCAAAAUGACUUACACAGGUACCAAGACAAGACAUUAUAUACACUUAUAUAGUCAAAUACUUUAAAACUGUUAACAAACUUGCUACAAUUGUCUCAUUUGUCUUUUAACCUUAAUAUCACAGAUCAAGUUUGUAAUCUCAAAAGUUCACCCUGGCUGCUGUGUGGAGUAUUCUCUUAUCUGCUCAUAUUACACUGUGCUUAUUCAUUCAUCAGUUAAUGGAAAUUUGGGUUGUUUCCUGAUUUUGACUGUAAUGAAUAAUGUUGCUGUAAACAUUCAUGUACAGUUUUGUGUGGACAUGCUUUUCUUUCUCUUGGGUAGGUUCCUAUGAGUGGAAUCACUAGAUUGUAUGGUAAAUGUAUGUUUAACUUUUAAAGAAACUGUCAAACUGUUUUCUAACAUGAACGGGCCAUUUUACGUUCUUAUCAACAAUAUAUGAUGGUUUCAAUUUUCCCACAUCCUCACCAACAUUUGGUAUUGUCUCUCUUUUACAUCAUAACUAUUUUAGUGGGGAUGUAGUGAUAUCUUAUCGUGGUUUUAAUUUGUGUCUCCCUAAUGACUAAUGAUAUUGUGCAUCUUUGCAUAUGCUUGUUAGCCAUUUAUGUACAUUCUUUAGUGAAAUGGCUAUUCAAAUCUUCUGCCCAUUUAAAAAUCGAGUUGUUUUUCUUAUUAUUCAGUUGUAAGAGUUUUUUCUUUAUUCUGUGCAAAAGUCCUUUAUCAAGUCUAGGAUUUUUGAAUAUUUUCUCAACCUAGAGCUUGUUUUUCAACAUUUUUUUCUUAAUGAUCUUUUGAAGUGCAAAAGUUUGAUUUUGAUGAAGUCUAAUGUAUCACUUCUUCCUUUAACUGUCAUGAUUUUUGUGUCGUAUCUAAGAACUCUUUACCCAACUCAAAGUUACCAAGGUAUUUUCUUCCAGAAGUUUUGCAGUUUUAACUCUUCUAUAUAGGCCUGUGAUCCAUUUUUAAUUCAUUUUUUGCAUAUGAUGUGAGAGAAGGGCCUAAGUUCAUAUUCGUACAUGUGGAUGUACAAUGGUUCCAGGAUCACUUGCUGAGAAAAGACUAUCCUUUCCCCAUUGAUUUUUUUGGCACCUGUGUCAAAAAUCAAUUGACCAUAAAUGCAAGCGUUUAUAUCUGAACUCUCAGUUCUUCUCCAUUCAUCUCUAAGGAUAUGUCUAUGCUUACAUCAAUAUCACAGUGUAUUCAUGUGGCUUUGUAGUAAAUUUUGAAAUUGGGUGAUA